CAGGCAGAGGCCACCUCCACUCCUCAGACGCAGAGCAAGCUCAGCUCUGGCUGCUCAGGAUCCUGUUGCCAUGGAGAUGCCAGAGCUCCUCAGAGCAUUGGAGGCACUGGGCGUGGCCUGCCCUCAACAUGGUUUGAAGCCUGGGACUGUGAGCUCCAUGAAGACAGGGCCCUCAUCUGUCUUGUUCAGCAAUGUCUCUCCAAGCCCUGGAAUACUGCCUGGCACAGAGGCUCAAGGCGAUGGAGAGGGAUGAGCUCACGUGUGCAGAUUUGCUGGGAAGCCACCUGGAGGCUGCACGACCUGGCUGGGGCUAGGAGGCUGCAGGGAGACUGAGACAGAGGUGCACAGAAAUGUAGAGACCGAUGGAGAAACAGCACGAGCCAGAGCCAAUGAGAGAGAUUGAUGUGGGAAUCUGUGUUCUCGGGCUGAGUUAAUCCCCAAACUCAGCUCCUGGUUUCCAGUUCUCCCCAGCUGCCUCGCUCCUG
RNAcentral lists this long non-coding RNA (485 nucleotides) under Equus caballus (horse). RNAcentral's name for it is "lncRNA (ENSECAG00000046169.1)". Lineage: Eukaryota; Metazoa; Chordata; Mammalia; Perissodactyla; Equidae. The record is from RNAcentral.